GAUUGUUCACUGCAUGGUUUUUCCCAACUGUCCUUGCUCACUUAGAGCUAUGUCACGAGAAGGAAUAUGCAGCGGUCACACCACUUUCCGGACUGCCUCUCGCCAGGUGUCAACG
This is a small nucleolar RNA of Brugia malayi, 115 nucleotides long. The record is from RefSeq and is a predicted model, not a curated record. NCBI's taxonomy places the organism in Eukaryota, Metazoa, Nematoda, Chromadorea, Rhabditida, Onchocercidae.